AUACGUAGGUGGCAAGCGUUGUCCGGAUUUAUUGGGCGUAAAGCGAGCGCAGGUCGGUUUUUUAAGUCUGAUGUGAAAGCCUUCGGCUCAACCGAAGAAGUGCAUCGGAAACGUAGGGAAACUUGAGUGCAGAAGAGGACAGUGGAACUCCAUGUGUAGCGGUAGAAAUGCGUAGAUAUAUGGAAGAACACCAGUGGCGAAGGCGGCUGUCUGGUCUGUAACUGACGCUGAGGCUCGAAAGUAUGGGUAGC
RNAcentral lists this ribosomal RNA (251 nucleotides) under uncultured bacterium. Its description in RNAcentral is "partial 16S ribosomal RNA". It matches the Rfam family "Bacterial small subunit ribosomal RNA", at positions 523 to 769 of the family's 1533-position model. The record is from RNAcentral.